UUUCCGUAGGUGAACCUGCGGAGGGAUCAUUACACAACAAAAUAUGAAGGCCUGGCUUCGCGGCCGGCUGAAAUAUUUUUUUCACCCAUGUCUUUUGCGCACUUGUUGUUUCCUGGGCGGGUUCGCCCGCCACCAGGACCAAACCAUAAACCUUUUUUUUAUGCAGUUGCAAUCAGCGUCAGUAAAAACAAUGUAAUUAUUACAACUUUCAACAACGGAUCUCUUGGUUCUGGCAUCGAUGAAGAACGCAGCGAAAUGCGAUACGUAGUGUGAAUUGCAGAAUUCAGUGAAUCAUCGAAUCUUUGAACGCACAUUGCGCCCUUUGGUAUUCCAAAGGGCAUGCCUGUUCGAGCGUCAUUUGUACCUUCAAGCUUUGCUUGGUGUUGGGCGUUUUUUGUCUCCCUCUUUCUGGGAGACUCGCCUUAAAACGAUUGGCAGCCGGCCUACUGGUUUCGGAGCGCAGCACAUAUUUUGCGCUUUGUAUCAGGAGAAAAGGACGGUAAUCCAUCAAGACUCUACAUUUUUAACUUUUGACCUCGGAUCAGGUAGGGAUACCCGCUGAACUUAAGCAUAUCAAUAAGCGGAGGA
This 588-nucleotide ribosomal RNA is filed under the name Bipolaris sorokiniana. Its description in RNAcentral is "eukaryotic LSU rRNA". The stretch from base 204 to 357 matches the Rfam family "5.8S ribosomal RNA". The record is from RNAcentral. Lineage: Eukaryota; Fungi; Ascomycota; Dothideomycetes; Pleosporales; Pleosporaceae.